CACAACCCUAAACCAUAUUCCCCCUUUCUUCAAGGCCUUGUUUCAGAACCCCACGCUUCCAAUCGAGACCUAGAGUCUGAUAUUCAAGAGCUUCAUGACAACGAAGAAGAUGAUGAUGAGAACCGGAAGUCGCAACUAUCUAAACCGGAAGAUCACAGCAAUGAGGAGUGGGAUAUUCGAACUUCUGUUGGUAUGGAUUGCACUCUUGAUAACGAGAACUCAUAUCACCAGAUCCGGUUUCAGUGACCCUCUUUUCGUUUUUGGGAGUAAAGAACAAGUAGAUCCGGUAUCCUAUAUGUUUGUAGAACUCAUAUCACCCCUGAUGAAGAUCUAGGAACUACAAAUCACCGCAGAACUUGAUUUUGUUUUCCUGUUGGAGCACCAUUACGUGGGAUUAACUACAAAUCAGCUUAAGACAUAUGAUAAGUCCAGUGGUGAGGGCCCAGAUGGAGCAACGAAACAAAUACAGAACCUGGAUAA
Long non-coding RNA from Helianthus annuus (common sunflower), 480 nucleotides. RefSeq lists it as uncharacterized. NCBI's taxonomy places the organism in Eukaryota, Viridiplantae, Streptophyta, Magnoliopsida, Asterales, Asteraceae. The transcript has 4 exons. The record is from RefSeq and is a predicted model, not a curated record.